This 465-nucleotide ribosomal RNA is filed under the name uncultured bacterium. RNAcentral describes it as "partial 16S ribosomal RNA". It matches the Rfam family "Bacterial small subunit ribosomal RNA", at positions 28 to 507 of the family's 1533-position model. The record is from RNAcentral.
GACGAACGCUGGCGGCGUGCUUAAUACAUGCAAGUCGAACGGAAAGGCCCUGCUUUCACGCUUCUCGAGUUGCGAACGGGCGAGUAACACGUAGGUGAUCUGCCCUCCACUUCGAGUUAAGCCUGUGAAACUAGGUCUAAUACCUGAUAGGAGCCAUAUUUAGUGUGAUGGUUGGAAAGUUUUUUCGGUUUAUGAUGAGCUCGCUGCCUAUCAGCUUGUUGGUGGGGUAAUGGCCUACCAAGGCGGCGACGGGUAGCCGGCCUGAGUGAGUGGCCUGCCACCUUGGGACCGAGGGAAGGCCCAGGCAGCGAAGCGAGGGCGAUGGGGGGAAGAUUGAACAAUGGGCGCAAGGCUGGUGCAGAGAGGCCGCGUAGGGGAUGACGGCCUUAGGGUUGUAAAAUACUUUCGCUAGGGACGAAGCUUUUUGUGACGGUACCUAGAUAAGAAGCAACGGCUAACUACGUG